RNAcentral lists this ribosomal RNA (497 nucleotides) under uncultured bacterium. RNAcentral describes it as "partial 16S ribosomal RNA". It matches the Rfam family "Bacterial small subunit ribosomal RNA", at positions 28 to 507 of the family's 1533-position model. The record is from RNAcentral.
GAUGAACGCUGGCGGCGUGCCUAAUACAUGCAAGUCGAGCGAACGGACGAGAAGCUUGCUUUUCUGAUGUUAGCGGCGGACGGGUGAGUAACACGUGGAUAACCUACCUAUAAGACUGGGAUAACUUCGGGAAACCGGAGCUAAUACCGGAUAAUAUUUUGAACCGCAUGGUUCAAAAGUGCAACACGGUCUUGCUGUCACUUAUAGAUGGAUCCGCGCUGCAUUAGCUAGUUGGUAAGGUAACGGCUUACCAAGGCAACGAUGCAUAGCCGACCUGAGAGGGUGAUCGGCCACACUGGAACUGAGACACGGUCCAGACUCCUACGGGGGGCAGCAGUAGGGAAUCUUCCGCAAUGGGCGAAAGCCUGACGGAGCAACGCCGCGUGAGUGAUGAAGGUCUUCGGAUCGUAAAACUCUGUUAUUAGGGAAGAACAUAUGUGUAAGUAACUGUGCACAUCUUGACGGUACCUAAUCAGAAAGCCACGGCUAACUACGUG